This 2891-nucleotide long non-coding RNA is filed under the name Canis lupus familiaris (dog). RNAcentral's name for it is "lncRNA (ENSCAFG00845000346.1)". Lineage: Eukaryota; Metazoa; Chordata; Mammalia; Carnivora; Canidae. The record is from RNAcentral.
UUUUUUUUUUUAAUUUAUUUCUAUUGUGCCCUUGGUUUAUUGGUAACUCUUUUGAUGAUCACAGUCCUCCAAAUUGAUUUCCAUUCUCUAAUGUGCAGUGUGAAGAAAGCAUGUAAAAGUGUCUUUACAAGUCUUAAGGAUCUACAUUAGUAUUUUUUAGAUUAGAUUCAUCUAAUAAAAUGGAUAUUACCUGGUCCUACUUCCAUGUUGGGGAUUGGCUAGAACUGGAGUAGACCAUAACAAUCUGAAUUUGGUAAUUUAGAAAAGAGCUGGAAAACAUUUAUCCAGGAAAUUGCUAUGCAUAUGAUGAAUGAAUAGCAAUUCUAAGUGUAGACAUAAGUAAAAGUUUUACAAGCCAAAGGUAAUAUUCCCCACCUGUGCUUUAUAAAGCACUAGAAUAUGAAACUAUGUUAACAUAUUUGAAAUUAUGUGGUAUGGAAAAAGGGUUGUAUAAGAAAGUGCAUUUGCACUUAGACCACACUAAAUAGAAGUUUUCACUAGAGUAUUUUAUGAAGAUUUUAAUAUAGUAAUUUGAAUUGUGAUUCUUCAAGAAGGGUAUCAAGUAUACAUUUAUUUGCUAAAUAUAUUUCAUGCAAAUAUACACUUUUUAAAAGUUUCUUAUGAUUCCUCAUAUAUUUUUAAGCACUGUGAAAUAGUGGGAUGGGAAAAUAAAGAAAAACUGAUAUAGCUGAUGAGAAGUUGAACUUUGGAGAAGGAUGUGUGACAAGCUAAUAUUGAAACUUUUAAUAUCUGCCAAACGUUCACAGUAGUAUGAUUAUUAUCUAUAUAAUUACUACUAUUACAAUGAAUUGUGCAAAUGCUGUGGCAGACACCUUAAGUAGAAAUAAAUUUUACAGGAAAUAUGCCACAGAUAAUUUUUAUAUUAUCUGCUAUCUUGGCUUUAUAGGCAGUUAUAUGUUUGACUUCUUAUAGCCUCUAGACUUUAUCUGGGAUUAUUCUGUUGAUCAAAAAGAAUAAAAAAUUACCCAAUGAACGUGAUAUUAUUUGGUACUGACACACUUACCUUAAAAUCACAAAGUUUUCCAUAUUCGGAGAAAUAUACUUGGGAAAUACAGUAUAUUUUCAACGGCCAAAUGGUAUUGGGGCAAUGCUUUCUAACGGACUCAUCUCCAAAUAGUAUGUAUCAUAAAAAUUUUAUCCAUUUUCAUUGAUAUACAUGAACCUUCCAAACUAUAUAAAAUAUAGGAAGUUUUUCUAAAAAGAUGUAAAAAUAGCUAUUCUGCUAGGAUAUAAAUAUUUUUAUAAUAUCUGUAUUAACUGUUGUCCACUCAUGUUUUAUGCUGUCCAUAUAUCCUAGAUUGAGAAAUACUUUUAUAUCUGUCAUGGAUUUAAAGCAAUUGUGGCCAUCUGGUAUGUAUUUCAUAGAAGCAUUAAACAUAUUUUUGAAACGUGCAACCUUCUUAUGCAGUGUUGUGUUUUAACAUUUUAGUGAUUAUAUUUAUUUGUUUCAUGGCACGUGGCUUUUCUGUUCACACUGUUAAUAAUUAAUGCCCCUAACCUCUUACUACUAAAAAGUGUUAAAUCAGAGUUUCCAAUUCAUGUGCCAUUGACCCUUUACUUAAAUGUGAUCUAGAUCUAAAUAUUAUAAACAUGAUUUAACAAACCAUAUGCUCACUCAUCUGUUCUUUAUUGUAUUAAUGUGUCCCCUUGAAAGGACUCAAAGUGAAUGUAUAGUAGCCAUGUGUAGUAUGGCCAGUAGCUAACAGGUAGUCCUGACUUAUUUUUAAGAUAAAAAUUAUAAAAUAAAAAUAAAUAAUAAAGUAGUAAAGUAAAAGCCAAUCGUAAGAUAUAUAAAUUAUAAUGUAAUAAAGUAUCAUUUUAUGACAAAAAAAACAAAAAUCACGGCACCCCACUAUUAAACAGUCUGGUAAUUUAGUAUGUUUGGAAAACUGAAUCUACUCAAACUUAAGUGUGGAAAUCUCCACAUUCCUGUGUAUAUUCUUGAAUAGGUUUUUGACUUGACUGUAAUCUACAAAUUUGUGAAACAGCAAAGUAAAAGGCAAAAACUUAAAUUGGUUCUUUCUGGAACCAGCUUCAAUUUAAACUUUCAAAAAAUUGACUUUUUUUUUUUUUUACUAUACUUUAGAAUGACUUGACGCAGUACACUAUUCUAGGGAUUAACUGGUUCUUGACUUAUUACUUAUUAUUAUCAUAUUAUUUAUGAUAACCAACCAUCCUGGAUAUAUUUUCAUAUUUAGAUUUUAUGUAUUCUUCUACUAUUUUUUGUAUUCUGAUCUUUUCAUUUCUAUUAAAACCACAGUUACUUUCUUUCUAUGGUUCUUCCUUGAACUGAACUUCCUUGCUUCCUUUUUUCUUUUAAGAUUUUAUUUAUUUAUGGGAGAGAGGGUGCAAGAGUGAAGGGGGAGGGGAAAAAGCAGGGGGAGAAGCAGUUUCCCCACUGAGCAGGGAGCCAGUUGUGGGGCUUAAUCUCUGGACCCUAGGAUGAUGACCUGAACUGAAGGGAGAUGCUUUGAAUGACUGAGCCACCCAGGGUUUCCUGAAAGCCCUGCGUCUUAAAUAAUAUUUGAGCUAAAUGUGGGAAUUAGACAUUGGGUCUUAUCAAUAGAUAAUAGUCAAAACAAAACAAAACACAAAAAUCUACCGGGCUAUCAGAAAGUUUACUCGCUAAUGAUAUCUGCAGACAUUGGCUCGGGACCUUGUAUGAAUUGAAAUAAUUUUCUUUAAUUCAGAAGGUAAUAUAAACUAUAACAUCUCUUGACUCAGGUGAUUUAGAACAAUCCGUAUAAUGAGCACAAUAAGAAAAGCUGGAAAAAAGGAUAUAUGUAUAUAUCCUUUUAUAUAUAUACAUAUAUAUAUAUAUUUCACAUACAGAUAUAUAUUUAUGUGUUAUAUAAAAUAUCCAUUAUAUU